This 76-nucleotide transfer RNA is filed under the name Planctomycetota bacterium. RNAcentral describes it as "Planctomycetes bacterium (activated sludge metagenome) tRNA-Glu". It matches the Rfam family "tRNA". From Rfam's summary of the family: Transfer RNA (tRNA) molecules are approximately 80 nucleotides in length. Their secondary structure includes four short double-helical elements and three loops (D, anti-codon, and T loops). Lineage: Bacteria; Pseudomonadati; Planctomycetota. The record is from RNAcentral.
GCUCCCAUCAUCUAGAGGCCUAGGAUACCGGAUUUUCAUUCCGGCGACACGGGUUCGACUCCCGUUGGGAGUACCA